Molecule: ribosomal RNA, 252 nt
Filed under: uncultured bacterium
Lineage: Bacteria
Description: partial 16S ribosomal RNA
Rfam family: Bacterial small subunit ribosomal RNA
Source: RNAcentral
UACGUAGGGGGCAAGCGUUAUCCGGAUUUACUGGGUGUAAAGGGAGCGUAGACGGCUUUGCAAGCCAGAUGUGAAAGCCCGGGGCUCAACCCCGGGACUGCAUUUGGAACUGUGUGGCUAGAGUGUCGGAGAGGCAGGCGGAAUUCCUAGUGUAGCGGUGAAAUGCGUAGAUAUUAGAGGAACACCAGUGGCGAAGGCGGCCUGCUGGACGAUGACUGACGUUGAGGCUCGAAAGCGUGGGGAGCAAACAGG